RNAcentral lists this transfer RNA (86 nucleotides) under Candidatus Dojkabacteria bacterium. RNAcentral describes it as "tRNA-Leu". It matches the Rfam family "tRNA". From Rfam's summary of the family: Transfer RNA (tRNA) molecules are approximately 80 nucleotides in length. Their secondary structure includes four short double-helical elements and three loops (D, anti-codon, and T loops). Further hydrogen bonds mediate the characteristic L-shaped molecular structure. tRNAs have two regions of fundamental functional importance: the anti-codon, which is responsible for specific mRNA codon recognition, and the 3' end, to which the tRNAs corresponding amino acid is attached (by aminoacyl-tRNA synthetases). tRNAs cope with the degeneracy of the genetic code in two manners: having more than one tRNA (with a specific anti-codon) for a particular amino acid; and 'wobble' base-pairing, i.e. permitting non-standard base-pairing at the 3rd anti-codon position. The record is from RNAcentral.
GCCGGGAUGGUGGAAUUGGUAGACACGCUGGACUUAAAAUCCAGUGGGAGUUAAAUCCCGUGCGGGUUCAAGUCCCGCUCCCGGCA